RNAcentral lists this ribosomal RNA (492 nucleotides) under uncultured bacterium. RNAcentral's name for it is "partial 16S ribosomal RNA". It matches the Rfam family "Bacterial small subunit ribosomal RNA", at positions 29 to 507 of the family's 1533-position model. The record is from RNAcentral.
AGUGAACGCUGGCGGUAGGCCUAACACAUGCAAGUCGAACGGCAGCACAGUAAGAGCUUGCUCUUACGGGUGGCGAGUGGCGGACGGGUGAGGAAUAAAUCGGAAUCUACUUUUUCGUGGGGGAUAACGUAGGGAAACUUACGCUAAUACCGCAUACGACCUACGGGUGAAAGCAGGGGAUCUUCGGACCUUGCGCGAUUGAAUGAGCCGAUGUCGGAUUAGCUAGUUGGCGGGGUAAAGGCACACCAAGGCGACGAUCCGUAGCUGGUCUGAGAGGAUGAUCAGCCACACUGGAACUGAGACACGGUCCAGACUCCUACGGGAGGCAGCAGUGGGGAAUAUUGGACAAUGGGCGCAAGCCUGAUCCAGCCAUACCGCGUGGGUGAAGAAGGCCUUCGGGUUGUAAAGCCCUUUUGUUGGGAAAGAAAAGCAGCAGGUUAAUACCCCGCUGUUCUGACGGUACCCAAAGAAUAAGCACCGGCUAACUUCGUG